GGGCUGUUGGUCUAGAGGUAUGAUUCUCGCUUUGGGGAAGUUGGUAAAACCCUCUUUCUUUGCGAGAGGUCCCGGGUUCAAUCCCCGGACAGCCCC
Apodospora peruviana is the source of this 96-nucleotide non-coding RNA. Lineage: Eukaryota; Fungi; Ascomycota; Sordariomycetes; Sordariales; Lasiosphaeriaceae. The record is from the annotation of a GenBank genome assembly.